GCAUACUCCAAAUACAAACAUACGUCAAAAUCAUACAAAUUGGUCCAGUGGUUCAAAAGAUAGAUCGUAGUCCUUUGUGACCAAAUGAAGCAUGGCUUUUCUGCCCAAAACCAGUUCCACAGAGUAUUCUAUCCUGGAGAUAAUUGGGAAGUAAUCCAAUUAUCUCCAAGGACAGAGGCAAAACUCAAUUGAACACAUGGCAGCAAAAGACAAUAAAAUACAUAAAAAUAUAUAACUGUGCAGCUAUUGCAUAAAACAGGUACAUUCAACAUAUUCCC
RNAcentral lists this long non-coding RNA (278 nucleotides) under Pelobates cultripes (western spadefoot toad). The record is from RNAcentral. Lineage: Eukaryota; Metazoa; Chordata; Amphibia; Anura; Pelobatidae.